Molecule: long non-coding RNA, 1395 nt
Filed under: Gallus gallus (chicken)
Lineage: Eukaryota; Metazoa; Chordata; Aves; Galliformes; Phasianidae
Source: RNAcentral
AGGGUGGAAGGUGUGUGGCAGGUCCUGUCCCGGAGGAGUGGAGUUAAGGGUCCUGGCGUGGCUGUUUUCCUGCAUGGAAGAUGGAGAUCCUGGGAGCUGUGAUGAGGAGGAGCAGAGCCAGCAGUGGCUCCUGUGUGGCAAUGGCUGCUUUGUGUGGUGCUCCCUGGGCUGAAAAGAGGAGGAGAAAAAAGUUUUUAGUGUUGUUCUUCAAAGCUCAGUUUCCCUUCAGCAAGAAGCUAUGGGGAGCUUCUAGGUCUAAUGCUGUUCCUCUGCUUUUGAGCUGAAUUUCUGCACGGCAGCCUUUCUCGAUUGCAGUAGGGCUUCCCUGGCUUGAAGAUGGGUGUGCUGUCCUGAGGGAGGAGCAGUGUUGGCUGUCUUACAGUGACCUUCUGCUUUCCUUUAAGAAGAGUCCACUAAGAACUGUAUUGGGUUUUUCAGUAGGUAACUCAGGAGAGGGCUUCUCGGUGAAAUCCUUUGUGUUGAAUUGCAGUAAGUUGAGUAUGUGAACCUUCCUCCCAAACUGAGACCGAACGCCAGCAAAAAUGCCAAAUAUGUUGUCCUGUUUCCCUUUAUAACAAAAGAUGUGGUACUUUGCUGGGGUUGCGCCUUUGUGUUCAAUGUUUGUAUGCAGUAUAUUGUAUCCUCAUGUGGGAGUCUGCCAUUAUUAACUGCACUGUUAAUAACUGUUAUUAUUAAUAUAAUAUAUUAAUAUAAACUGUAAAUUAAUAAUAAAAACUGUAAUUAUUAUUAAUAAAUUUACAGUUUAUAAUCCAGUUGUGCUGUGAUAGAAGUUCAGCAGCUGGAUAAUGCAGGAUAGAAAAUGGAGUUGACAGAGAUGCAAAACAACUCUCCUACUGCCUUGACUUGAACUGUGUCUCAGUGUGCUAUUACACUGACUCAUUAGUGCAAGCAGAUGUGUACCAUGAGGAAGGGCUGUUUUCUGAUGUGGGAUUUAGUUCUUGGGCCCGCUUUCCUGACAAGGGUUUUCUUUACCUACUCCCAUGGAUGAUAAAUGCUUUGAACUAGACCAGAGGAUAAGACUUCCUGCUUUUCUAACCCAGGCUUUCUCUUGAGCAGGAGGCUGUCACUGGAACACACAGGAACAGUCAGAGCAAUUACUGAAUUGGACUGUCUGAGCUGAAAGUUGAUGGUGCAUCCCUCUGGUAGAGGGAAUGCAAAAAAGAGAGGUCUUGAAUCAGUAGUGAGUUUAUUGCUGAAGAGCAAAGAUUCGUAUCUCACCCUAAGCUGGGUGUUUUUCACUGCCACACGCCCAGUCAUUUCACUAUACCCAUGUUCUGCCUGGUACCACUCUGACUACCUUCUACCACUAACAACCAGAAUGGCUGAGCAAGGAGUACUGUUUGCAGCUAGGAAGCCAAAAACAGCCAAAAACCC